Long non-coding RNA from Ictalurus punctatus (channel catfish), 7092 nucleotides. NCBI's taxonomy places the organism in Eukaryota, Metazoa, Chordata, Actinopteri, Siluriformes, Ictaluridae. The record is from Ensembl.
CGAAUUUUUGGCUUCUUUGCACAAUUUAAGAGCAUUUAAGAGUAUUUAAGAGCACAGAAGCCUGUCGGGUCUUCAUGUUAGGGUGGGUCCCAGGGUGUUUCAUCAGGAGGAGAAAAAGCUCUUUGACGUUAUAGGAAGGAUAAAUCAAUAUCAGCUAACAAACAUUUGCUAAGGUUAGCAAUACUUGCUAAGCAACCCAGUUGUCCCAUAACCCAGCUAGCUAGCUAACCCUAGCUAACAUGAGCGGAUUUCUGACGUAUUUCAAUUUACAUAUAUCUCAGAUGUUCAUAAUGCUCACCAAUAAUGCUAGUUAUCUAACUGACAUGAGCUAGCUAAACAGGAUUUCUAAGAGGUUUUAAUGUCAUAUGUAUUAGCUGUAUCAUAUUUCAUGCUAAAGCUAGCUAGCUAGAUCACUGACAGCUUUUCCAAAAGGAUUUUGAGUCACAAUGUUUAUACUCACUGCUAACGAUUGUAGCAUAUUUCUUUCUGUUAACGCAAGCUAGUUAGUUAGCAUGAGCUAAUCUGGCAUGAUUUCUGAGAGGAUUUAAAGUCAUAUUCCUUCAUUCUGUCAUACUUCUUGCAUAUGCUUGGCAGGAUUUCUAAGAGGAUGUUAAGUCGAGAAAGAGGAUUUUUUUUUUUUUUUUUUUAAAGAAAGAGGAUUUCAUGAAUGUUCAGAAUCUUCAUUGCUAAUGCUAGCAAGCUUUCUAACAUAAUAAAAUAUAUUACACAUGAAAUAUAUUAUAGAUAAUAUAUAAAUAUACAUAAUAGAUCAAUUAAAAUCCUGACAGGAUUUUAAUUUAUAUAUUACAAGUGGUCAUAACGCUUAUUUAAAUAUGCUUGUUAUCUAGCUAAAAUGAGCUAACCUGACAGGAUUUUUAAGAUGAUUUAAAGUCAUAUCCAUAAAUGUUUACAGUAUCUUCCUAAUACAAGUGAGGUAACCUGGCAGGAUUUCUGAGAGGAUGUUAUCACAGCUUUUUUUUUAAAAAAUAAUUAUUUAUUUAUGCCUGUUAUUCAGUGACUACAAUGACACCCCCCCCCCACCCCACCACCACCAUUCUAUGUAAACACUUUGAGUGUUUAGAAAAGCGCUAUAUAAAUGUAACUGUAACUAAAUUAUUCAACUUGAAACAAGUUUUAUACAAGAAUGAGGAAUGUAAACAUUAUCUUCACUACUAAUGCUAGCUAGUUAACGAGCUAACGACAGGAUAUAGGCUGUACGAAAAGUACUUUUUGAGUGUGAUUGUAAAACUUUUGAGAGAUGGCUGUCUCGUCCUGUUCAGUCUGCUCAUAUGGACAGAUUACUGGGACACGGUGUACCUUCAGUUGGCAGUGGCAGGAUGAUUUAUGAAUAACAAAUACAUUCCAGGACUUUCUGAACACAAGGUAACUCAGGGAAUGAUACAGGGGCUGAGCUUUACUAAAGUAAGUUCUCAGAUUUAUGAAACACUACUAGGAUCAAAGAAAAGAAAGAUGCCAGGAUGUGUUAUUAAGACGUUAUUACUAUUUAUUACAGUCAUAAAAACAGACCUUGCACUGUGCAUGAUUCAUACAAAAAAAAAAAAAAUUAUUCACAGAUUGAGUUGUGAUGGAAGGUGAAAAGGAUGAGGAGGGGAAAUUGAAAUUGCACCAUCCUCGUUCCAAUCCCAUCUUCAAUCUUCCAUCCUCACUUGUUUUGUAUCUGCUUUCUUUGUUCCGAUCCGUCUCCUUCUACUCCUCUAUCUGAUUCAGUUCAUCUGAUGGUCUCUGGCUCAUUCUGUCUUCCCUUUGUCACUCUUCAAUUCUCCUCCACAUCCCACCUCUUUCUUCACUUUUUUUUUUUUUUUUUUACUGUCGCAGAAGUAAGCGGCACUUUGUAAUUCGAGGCCAGGAGAGCGUGUGCUUUAACCUGCUGCAAUCUCUGACCUCUGACUCGUUUGCACUCACUGACUCAUCACUGCAGGACAUUCGAUCCUGCCUGGCAAGGCAGCUGGCAUCAUUUAAUGCCCAUCACUGGUCCAGAAAUAGUUUAGCUCACACAACACGGUCUUAUGAUUGUACGUUAAUAAGAACUCUAAUUUAAAUAUACGCAAAUAAUUACGGUUAAUAAUGAGGCACAGGAUUAAUGGUUGUAGUUAUUGCUUUGGACGAACCCGGAAAUUUUCGACAUAAAACCCUACAGCGGAGUGGUUCUCUAUCAGAGAAGGUUCCAAGUAAAACUCCUUUAAAAAGCUAAGGAAUGCUUAUAUGGGCAUGCUGUUAUAUGAAAAUAAUGAAUGACAAAAAAAUGAAAAAAAAAAGAUUAUUUUUUAAGCCAACCGUUACGGUUUUCAUUUAUUAAAGAAUGGCACAUUGUACUUUUAUCCAUUAAUUGUUACAUUUACUGUUGUGGAACAUCCACAAAACAAGUUAGUUCCGUUUAUCACUUAGGUUAUGACAGCUAUAAACAGUCAUUCCUUCACCAGGGUUCAGGUGGUGUUGGCAGCUCAGCGGAUAAGACAUUGGGUUUUCUGAUUGGAAGGUUGUGAGUUCAAAUCCCACCACUGCUGGGGCCUUAACACUUGGCUGUAUAAAUGAGAUAAAUGUAAGGCAGUCUGUAUAAGGGCGUCUGCCAAAUUCUGUAAAUGCUACAAAGCACUCACACUGGAGACUACUUCCAUAAAUGUUAAACCAACAGUUCCAUUUUUCCAAGUUUUCCUACAGCAAAUUAGAGUGUCUACUAUACAAGUCCCUAUGUUAGUUGUUACUAUAGAAAGGUAACACAUAACAGCAAACGUACAUUAAUAUGAACCUUGCAACUGGAAAUACUGUCAGAGCUGCUGUUAGAGAAAAUUAAUCAACACUUCCCGACGAAUCAUAACUGAGUAUUCAACAGCACUGUGCUGUUAUAAGAAUGCUCCACUAUCCAAAGAACCUCGUUUUGCAUGCUAUGGUCAAACGAGUCAAAUUUGUGAACUACAAAUGGUACGAAUUUGAAUGCUUUACUGCCUUUCCACUUAGCCAGGUAGCCUUGACUUCGCUGCCAGUUACAGAUGGUCGUUAGAUCCUGUAUACAAAGGAGACUAUUAACUUUCUGUAGUGACUCAUAUGAAAAGGUGAGGUGACUUAAUAUGUCUUAAAGGAAGCACUGAUUAGAUUUCAUCCUUUUGGACUGGCAACUGUUGAACGAUAGAGAAAUGGAAAUUUUUGUUAUGGCUAAAAUGGUGAAGAAAAAAAAAAUAUUUGUAAAAUAAAUACAUAAAUUAAUAAAUAAAUAAAAGCUCAAAUGAAAUGUGGUGUGAUAUGACGUUGCUACUGCCAAGAGUCCAUCCAAACCACCAGAAAUCUGAUCACAGAGCAGCGGGUGAGCUCAUUUCUGCGAUAGGUUUUUUUUGUUGUUGUUGAUCCAGUAGAUUUUACAAUUCAUCCAGAUAAUCUAUGAUUAAAGCAUCUAUGGGAAAAUAUGCUUUUGUUUAUAUCCUGGAGGAAUGAUUAAGGACAAGCUCGAGUUCUCCAGCUUGUUUUGCUCAGCAUGAAAUGAGUCCUCCUAGUUUCUUAGCUUUCCAAAAAAGCAAAAAAACAACAAAAAAAAGCCCUCAACGGUAAUAAAACAUAAAGCCAUGGAUCAUCCAAGAGACGAGAGCUGGAUGGGGGUGGGGGUGAAAUGCAACAGUACAGUAGUUGAGGUUUUCUUGUGAUAAUUAUUUGGACCAGAUUGUUUCUUUUUUGAUUAGUUGCAGUUGGGUUUGUUUGCAUUCCAAAGGUCAGUCGUUGUGGUUGGAACAGCAGCUUGGCUUCUGCUUGCCUAAGAGUCAUUUGAGGUGAAAAGAUGGCGGCAGGCAGAGCGCUGCCAUCCGUCUCCUCUGAUCCUUCAUCUCUCUCUCUUUUUAUCCCCCCCCCAACUGUCUUUCUUUAUGGCGGUGGCAGACGGAGGUGUGAGUGCUACAUAAAUGCAUUUAUUUGCCGUUUUCUUUGCGUGUGGCAUAGGGAUUCAAAGAGAACAAGUAGUAGAAGGGGGCGGAUGGAGUCAUGUUUCCACGAAUGCCACACUUCAGUCUGUUUUUGCUCAUAUAUAGCAUGGAAUUCUGGGAAAAGGCUGACGUUCGAUUCAAAAUUGCAACAGUAGAAAAGUUAGCUCUGUUGUCUAUGGUGAGAAAAAAAAAAUUUAAAUAAAAACCCAAGGAAUCAUAGUUCAAAUGUAGUCUUAAGAAAUAAAUUAAAAUGCACACUUACCCCCUAAUAGGUGCAACAUCUGCCCUUAUUCAUGUGAGGUGACAGGCAGGCCACGUCAAGUUAAAUAAGGAUAACAAUAAUCAGAAACUAACUCAACAAGAGUUUAAAUAGGACAAACUAAACAGAACUGUGCACAGAACAGGUGAACACAAUCAGGCAACAAACCAAUGACAUGACAGGGGUGGAGACAAGAAUAGAACAUGACCACAUGGUGUUCAUUGCUAUCGGAACCAUGAGGUAAAGGAGGGAAGCAUGAGAUGUAAACUGUUACAGAAAAUCAAUCAAUCAAUCAAGCAUCUGACCAAUCAGAUCUGAGAAUUUAACAGUGCCAUGGGAUCGUUUUGGGAUGAGAUCACUCCUCUGAACAUAUGGACUUUACGACCUUGAAUUCAGAUCAAACUUGCGUUCGAUUUGUGCAACUGGCAGCAGAAAAUCAACAUGCUAAAGCAACUCGGAGGUUCCCUCGAAGGCCCUGAGUUAAACAAAUGAAGAGAAUGAAAUCAGAUGUCGCAAAGUUUGCUGCGUUUAUUACAGUUUAAAAGGGUUAAUCUUCUCCAUCCUUCUUGAAGAAUGUGACUUGGCUGAGGUGAAACGGCCCAUGUGAUUUGCACACUAUCAAUUAUAGGCCUUUAACAAAUGAAACCAGAUGCCUGUUGACUGUGUGUGUGUGUGUGUGUGUGUGUGUGCGCGCGUGUGUUUGUGUGUGUGUCUGUUUUAUGUGUCUCAUGACUGGCGUUUAGAACACCCUGAAGUAAACAGUGUUUUGUGUGCGCGUCUGCACGCGCGCGUGCGUGUGUGUGUGUGUGUGUGUGUGUGAAAGAAGAGACUCAUGCUGCCUUGCAUGCAACAAGAGCACCGUUGGUGGGUUUGCAAUCCAGACAACACCUAGUAAACAUAAUAAAUGCUAAUGAAUGUUUAUUUCUGAAAAUUUGGAAGAAGAUUUUAAGGCAUUCAGUGAUCUGUGACUCACUGUGCUUUGAAUGUACAAUUAACACCAGUUAUAUCUCGCCGAUUGGUUACAUUAAACACAAUAUCGAAUCAGAACUGCUCUUAAGUGGGAAAUUGUGCAAAUCUGUGUAUCAAUUUGUGGAUCCUGGUUUUGAGUGGCCCACUUUAAAAAGCAUACAAAUUGCAUGUUAAACACCUGCAGAUGUGUUGAACACGUUGCUAGUGAAAUAAAGUGCUAGAGUGAGUGAACGUGUAAUGCUGUUUUCACGUGAUCUGCCUUUAUUAGUCAUUCCCAUGCACAGUGUGGGACGGGGUGCUAUAAUAUCCCUACGCCUUUGGCCAUAUGGAAUGAUCUCAUUCAUAAUUCAUUUGCAUUCAGACUCUUAUUGAUGACCCGUUGAAUUCAGACAUUUUAUUAAUGUGCCUUUUUUUCAGUGCCUCUUAUUAAUGUUCCUUGUCAACACACUAUAAUUUUGUUGCUUCUCAGCUGGGGUUUCUGAAAUAUCCGCUCUGAAUCUUAAUCAGCUUCAGCAUUGUCCAGUCGUUGAUUAAGUUUCGUCAUCAUCAUCAUCAUUCAUCUGUCUAUUUGAUCUAAUUACAGAACUAGCACACACCCGUGACUCAUAGACUAGUGUGCCAGUUUCAGGAAUAUUCUGGAUUUCGGUCAUUUUGUCCAUUAAAUCCGUCUCUUAUUUGUCCUUACGUUCUUACGUACACGCUCGAACGCCAUCUUCCAUCUUUACGUACAGCUUAACCUCGAUCUCAUUAAAAAUAAUAAUUAUUCACAAAUAAGAAAUCAAGAAAAAGAUCUAAACAGAAACCCCACACUUUAUCCCGGAUCUUAUCCUUGGUAAGAUUUCGUGCAGAUCGAAAUAUUAGAAAUGUAGAAGUAUAAGAUAAGUUUGCUUCACUGAAGAAGGUUAAAAAAAAAAAAAACCUUGAUAUUAUACAAAUUUCAAUAAUCCAGUAUUUAUAAAAUUGUUUUUAUAAAAUUGAGUCUCCAGUGUCAGUGCUUUGUAACAGCAUGUAUAAAAUUGUUCAGAAUGGAAGAUUUUGUGGUUUAAAAUGACAAGCUGUGGGUUUUUUGGUGAGGGAACAGUUGUUUAUAGCUAUCUUAUGUAACUUCUUUUGAGACGCACAAGCUAAUAGGGGCUAAUUGCUAUGGUCUAAGAAGAAUAAAACACUUUAUAACCACUUUAUAAUGGUAACAGUUUCUCGCUUAACGUCAGGCCGCAUCACUCCAAACAGUCACUGAUUAUUUUUCUUUAACAGCAUGCCUCCGGAUGUUUUACUCCUUACUUAACACUCGGGGCGAUAUGCAAAUCAGGAGCUCGUGUCAUAACCGAUCUCCACAGACUUGUAAACAUCACCGUGAAUGCGCCGCUCUGUUCAGUUAAACCAGGCAAAUGACAGAGUUACUGUGCGUGGAGUCUAACGGUGCGGAAAAAUCCUGACAAGAAAAUCUCACACCUGCGGCAAAAGUCGAUGUGCUGUUGCGUUAAGCGAUACACACCUUAUGUCAUAACAUCAGUCUGCUGGCAGAUGACAUAAUUAUUACCUCCGUGUGUUUAUAAUGAUGGCAUCACUGACUGCUGAGGUCUGUAAAUGUAUGGGUAUACACAUACUAAUGUGAAGUGUGUUCACCUACAGGUCUCUCUCACACACACACACACACACACACGCACACACACACACACACACACGCACACACUUAUUUCUAUUUAAUUAAAACCACUUUUUAUUUUCACGUGCGUAAUGACAAGAGUUUAUGAUGGUGUGUAUUUUCUCUUCAGGGAACGUGUAUUGAUUCUGUUAUUAACAUAAAUGAAGGUGUGUGUGGGUGUGUGUGUGGGUGAAUGUGUGGGUGUGUGAAGUUGUGUGUGGGGUGGAGGUGGACAUGGUGUGGGUUUGUGUUAGAUGGGCAUUUCAGUGCCUCCCAGCAUGUUUGCAAUUGGG